This 919-nucleotide ribosomal RNA is filed under the name Rhizobium sp. RNAcentral's name for it is "bacterial SSU rRNA". It matches the Rfam family "Bacterial small subunit ribosomal RNA", at positions 16 to 989 of the family's 1533-position model. Lineage: Bacteria; Pseudomonadati; Pseudomonadota; Alphaproteobacteria; Hyphomicrobiales; Rhizobiaceae. The record is from RNAcentral.
UUUCUUCCUCGGAGUGGGGGGCUACAAUGCAGUCGAGCGCCCCGCCAGGGGAGCGGCAGACGGGUGAGUAACACGUGGGAACGUACCCAUCUCUGCGGAACAACUCCGGGAAACUGGAGCUAAUACCGCAUACGCCCUUUGGGGGAAAGAUUUAUCGGAGAUGGAUUGGCCCGCGUUGGAUUAGCUAGUUGGUGGGGUAAAGGCCUACCAAGGCGACGAUCCAUAGCUGGUCUGAGAGGAUGAUCAGCCACAUUGGGACUGAGACACGGCCCAUACUCCUACGGGAGGCAGCAGUGGGGAAUAUUGGACAAUGGGCGCAAGCCUGAUCCAGCCAUGCCGCGUGAGUGAUGAAGGCCUUAGGGUUGUAAAGCUCUUUCACCGAUGAAGAUAAUGACGGUAGUCGGAGAAGAAGCCCCGGCUAACUUCUUGCCAGCAGCCGCGGUAAUACGAAGGGCGCUAGCGUUGUUCGGAAUUACUGGGCGUAAAGCGCACGUAGGCGGAUAUUUAAGUCAUAGGUGAAAUCCCGGAGCUCAACUUCGGAACUGCCUUUGAUACUGGGUAUCUUGAGUAUGGAAGAGGUAAGUGGAAUUGCGAGUGUAGAGGUGAAAUUCGUAGAUAUUCGCAGGAACACCAGUGGCGAAGGCGGCUUACUGGUCCAUUACUGACGCUGAGGUGCGAAAGCGUGGGGAGCAAACAGGAUUAGAUACCCUGGUAGUCCCACGCCGUAAACGAUGAAAUGUUAGCCGUCGGCAAGUUUACUUGUCGGGUGGGCGCAGCUAACGCAUUAAACAUUCCCGCCUGGGGGAGUACGGUCGCAAGAUUAAAACUCAAAGGGAUUUGACGGGGGGCCCGCACAAGCGGGGAGCAUGUGGUUUAAUUUCGAAGCUACUCGCAAAACCUUUCCCAGCCCUUGAACAUG